UGGUGCAUGGUUGUCGUCAGCUCGUGUCGUGAGAUGUUGGGUUAAGUCCCGCAACGAGCGCAACCCUCGACCUUAGUUGCCAGCAUUCAGUUGGGCACUCUAAGGUGACUGCCGGCUAAAAGUCGGAGGAAGGUGGGGAUGACGUCAAAUCAUCAUGCCCCUUAUGACCUGGGCUACACACGUGCUACAAUGGGCGGUACAAAGGGUCGCGAACCCGCGAGGGGGAGCCAAUCCCAAAAAGCCGCUCUCAGUUCGGAUUGCAGGCUGCAACUCGCCUGCAUGAAGUCGGAAUCGCUAGUAAUCGCGGAUCAGCACGCCGCGGUGAAUACGUUCCCGGGCCUU
Molecule: ribosomal RNA, 342 nt
Filed under: uncultured Anoxybacillus sp.
Lineage: Bacteria; Bacillati; Bacillota; Bacilli; Caryophanales; Anoxybacillaceae
Description: bacterial SSU rRNA
Rfam family: Bacterial small subunit ribosomal RNA
Source: RNAcentral